GCGCAGCGGGAGCUCGGCGGCCGCGGCAGCUCCCCCCGGCCGGGGCCGAGCAGAAGGGAAGGGGUUUGCCACCCAUCAGCAGCAGGGACGGAGGGGAAUUUCAUCUCCAGCUAUCUUAUCAUCUGGGCAACAAGGGCAGGCAGAGAUUCUGGCUUCACAGCUCGGGGAUUACGACUGAUUCAGUGGGGCAAAGGACUGGGGUCUAAGAAGGUAACCAGCCCAUUUCAGAUGGUCACAGAAGGACUAUUAUAUUGGGGAAAGAAAAAAGGAUAAAUGUUUAAAGCUACCUGAACACCUGACUCCCUGAGCGAUGAGCCCCCACAUAAAGUUGGCACAGUAUUCACACCAGUGUGGACCUCGGAAUGUGUGGACCUGUAAUACAAAUGGAAAAAGGGGGUCACGAGGAGGCAGAUGGCCUGACAGAUGGAACAAAUAAAAGAGAUAAACAACAAA
Long non-coding RNA from Alligator mississippiensis (American alligator), 453 nucleotides. RefSeq lists it as uncharacterized. The record is from RefSeq and is a predicted model, not a curated record. NCBI's taxonomy places the organism in Eukaryota, Metazoa, Chordata, Crocodylia, Alligatoridae. The transcript has 3 exons.